UCCCCAUCUAUUUGCCAUGAAGUCAUGGGACCGGAUGCCAUGAUCUUAGUGACAGAGGAACCAUUAAUUGAGAUGCAAAAGAGGACACAUUCUAUUCACUUUUAUGCUUCACAUCUUAAGGUUUAUACUACCGGACUCACUUAUCCUUCCUGGUCCCCACCCAACGGGACCCCUUCUCGCCAACCCUGAGACUGGGUGAUAGAGGCGGUGGCCCUUGGGGAGAAGAAUAUGUCAAGUUGAGGCCAAGUGAGAAUUCUAAAGAGGCUCCUACUGUUGGGUGUAGGAGGGCUGGGGUGAGUAGGAGCCCCACGAAAACUGCGCUUUUACGCNNNNNNNNNCGCAAAUCGACGCCAGAGCCGGGGGUGGGGAUGUCGUCACCAGCCGCCUGGGGUUGGCAGAGUUGCGGAGAGAGGGGCGUGUAGACCCCGCCUCGGUGGGUGGGGAGUGGCAGGCCCCGCCUCGGCCCCGCUGGCAGGCUCGGGCCGGCGUCGCUGCGGCUCUGGCUGCCGGGCUGGAGAGCCGAGCCGGGAAGGAUGCGGCUCCCGGGGCGGCCUGGGGGUCCCGGGGGAUCGGGGGGUCUCCGGGUGCUGCUCUGUCUGCUGUUGCUGGGCAGCCGCCCGGGAGGCUGCAACGCCAUUAGUGCCCACGGUCAGGAGGAAAUGGGGGGUGGGGGAGGGUGCCGAGAGCAGAACUCGGUGGGGUGUGCUGCGGGUGUGGAGGGGAGGGAAUGGGAAGUAUCACGAAGGUCGGAACCUCGGCUGGAAGGUGUGUGUGGAGUGGGGAGGGGGAGGCCCGGUGAGCGGAGAGAGAAGAGAGGGCGUCUGCGAGGAAAGGGGCGUAGGCCUGGAGGUGGGGCUGGGAACCCGGGGGCGGGACCUAAGAGAAGAGGGCUCAGGGCAAGUUCGGGGUUUGGGGAGAAGAAAAGGGGGUGCGUGUGGACAGAGAGACCUAGAGACGGGAUACGAGAGAAGGACGUGUCCCCGAGGCGCCAAAAAGUGGCGGCGCUGAGGGGUGGAGGAGGGGAAGGAAAGAGAGAACCCUGGUUUCCAGGCAGUAGAAGUCGGGCCCACGAGCUCCGGGGUCCCAGAUUUCCGUAGAGGAUCAGGCCAAAGGAGGGGCCAGGGUUUCUCUCCUAGUCUGGAGAGGCCGAUCGCUGUAAUCUGAUCUCCGAUGAGAAGCAGACGGCUGGGGAAGGGGGCCAAAGAGGGUGAAGAGGGAGGGGUCGUCUCCCGCCCCCUCCCCACAGCCAGGCCUGGUGCUGACUCACAUCUGAGCGGACGGAGACAGUCAGCGCUGACUCAUGGGCAGGGGGAGGGUGGGGGCCAGGGGCGCGUGGGGGAAGGGGCGCAAGCUCGCAAUCUGACGCCCUCCUCCCCCAUCGGGCUUGAAGGCCAGGGCAAGGUACUUCCUGUGGCGCUGCGGGUUGGUUAGGGUGGAAGAUGAAGGCUGGAAUGGCGGAGAGGUCAGGUCUUUUGAAGGCUCCUCACCCGGUCGCCCUUCCCUCCCCUAUAACUGCUUCCAGGCAAACCCUCAGAGGCGCCGGGCUCAGAGCUUCAGCACCGCGAACAGCGCCAACAGCUCUAGGGCCACGGACUUAGAGGGACAGUGUGGGGAGCACUGCCUUAGAGCCAUCCCACCCUUUCCCAUGCGAAGCGGAAGUGUGCUAGGGUUCCCGUCUCUUCUGAGCCCCAGGCCAUCAUAAGAUACUUUUGGAGAUAUGGGAAGGAAAGUCCCUUUUCCCUCUGAAUUUGAACAGAAACUACCCCGCAGUAAUUCUAUCAGAGUAGAAGUUUAUCAUUCUCCACCAUCACCAUCCCCAUGCACCUGAAGGGCUUCUUCUCCCCAUUACUUAGUUAAACAAACUGAGGCUUUUAGGGAAAGAAUCGAAACUUGCAGAUCUUUGAAAUCCAAACCAGAUCCCCCUCUUAAGAAGAGGAGGCCUCUUCCCUCCUCUCCUCCCAGCUUAAAGCCUUCCUUAGAAUGAAAGACUGGAUCCCAUCUGCUU
This 2005-nucleotide long non-coding RNA is filed under the name Capra hircus (goat). Its description in RNAcentral is "lncRNA (ENSCHIG00010007854.1)". Lineage: Eukaryota; Metazoa; Chordata; Mammalia; Artiodactyla; Bovidae. The record is from RNAcentral.